ACUGGCCUGGAACUCUCUCUGUAUCCGAACUCCAACCUACACUUUUUAAAAAGAAAAGAAUGGCUUCCUGGUGGGCCUUUGGAUGAGCCAGGUUUCAGCCCCAUGCUCCACCUUCCUUUCCCACUGCCAUUUACAACAGCCACACUGCUCUGCCGGCGUUUGUCCUGGUGCCUCCUGCUGCCCGAGAAUCACGGAAAGCAACUGUUCCAGACUCACACCCCAGGGGCCAGUUUGUCAAAACCUCUGGAGCCAUAACAGUGGCUGGAAAAAUCCAGUCUCUGGCCUUAAGCUUUCCAAACUUCUGGAUCCAAGAAGGCCUUUUGCCAAUGUGGAUAUCCCAGUUUGUGUUCCUUGGGAUCACGACAUCCUGUGAGGUAUUAGCAAACAUUUUAAAAGUAUCAUGGCCAAAUAAAUUUAGGAAAUGCCAAAGUAAAAUUCAGUAAGUUUCUUUCCCUCUUAGUGCCUUUAUCAUGCAAAUAAUUCAGCCCCCCUCCCCAAGAAAACACAUGACAUUAGAUAUUCUGGGACUCUUGGUCCAUUGAACAGGUUUUUGGUUUUUGCCCCCCACCCCCAUUCUGCUGCCUUCUGUCUGUGAUUGUCUGAACUUCUUCAGUAAAGAUGUCUCUUUCUUCCUUUUCUCCUAAGCAUUAGGGAAAUCACCUGCUCCUUCUAUCUGCCUUAUACUCCAUGGAAUAAUGCAGUUCCUCAGCCAGCAUCAACCCCAACAGCAAGCUCAGUGUUUUUUGUUGUUUUGUUUUUGAGGCAGGAUCUCAUGUAUCCCAGGUUGGCCUCAAACUCAGUAUGUAGAAGGUUGUGAACUGCCAUGUAUGUGCUGGGACUCGAACCUAGGUCCCCUGGGAGAACAGCAAGUGCUCUUAACCACUGAGCCAUCUCCCCUGCCUCACAAGUUCACUUUUUAGGGGCAUAAAUGGCUUCUAUAAUCCAGGUCCAGGCCACUCCUCUCUUGGAUGCUGCUGUCACAUCCCCCCCUCCACCCUCAAUCCCCUCACCCCCUGUGAUGGGGUCAGCCAGAAACACCUGUGUUUCUGAGUAUGCAGUAGUCAUGUGCUGCUCUUGCUGCCUGGUACACCUUUCCCUCUGUGUGUUGUGAAAGCUGGCACCCAUGCCCCGAACUCCUCACACCCCCAACCCCUCCCUGCUUCUAGACCAGGAGCACAUUGCUGACCCAUCACCACAGUCAUGUGUUAACAGACGUUUCUGUCCGGCCAGCAACUCCCACAUACCCGGUAGCCACUUUCUAAAUUACCACACAGAAACUUAUAUUAAUUAUAAAUGUUUGGCCAAUAGCUCAGACUUGUAUUAAUUAGCUCUUAUUUUAAAUUAACCCAUUUCUAUUAAUCUAUGUAUUGCCAUGUGGCCUGUGGCUUACCGGUCCUUCAGCAUCCUGCUUCUUGGGUGGCUUGAGUGUCUGUCCCGACUCCAUCCCUCUCUCUUAGUUUGAUUCUUCAACCUAACCUUAUCCUGUCUUGCCAUAGGCUAAAACAACUUUAUUAUCAACCAAUGAGAGCAACACACAUUUCAAGCAUACAGGAGGAUCUUCUCAUAGCAGUAAUGAACCAGUCAAUGGGCUCCAAGCCCUGUGGCAUCUCUGGCACUUCCCCCUAGGCACCUGAUCUUGACUCCAUGGGCUAGAGUGUAGGACAUGCCCAGACCAUGCUGAACUAGAGCCUGAAGCUGAUCCAGAGACAAGACUCCUGGGCCUAGGCACCACUGACUGCCACACUUGUUGCUCCUGCUCUGCUUAGUUAGCAUGAGGAAAGUAUUUCCCCUGUGUGUAUAUCGUUUAUGCUUCCCCUUCCUUUUCUUCAAGGAGGUUACGUGUCUUCUACUUAGCACCUAGCUAGGUCCCCCUGUUUUCCUCUUCAGACCUUUUAUAAGCUUUGCUGCCAUACGUGCUUCAGCGUGAAUCUAACUUGUUCUCUGCAUUCUGUUUCACCCUCCUUUCCAGUCCCUUUUGAUUGGCAUUUUUAUUAUCCCAAUUCCCUGCUUAUUAUGUUGUCUGUAGUAUCCUUUCCUCCUUAUGUACCUAUUAUCUGUAAGUUGACACCGUUUGUCCUUGACUUGUCACACUCUCGGGUAAAUUAGUGCUUUGGCCAUCAUCCAGAGAGCACAAAGGCCCUUAGAGAAUCCUGCUCCCAUUCAUCCCUCUUUUAGUUUGUUUUCACGUUUGUCCCUUCUCGGCCUCCGUAAGGACAUCUGCCAUGCUGCCAGUGACUCACCCGUGUCAGUCAGUGCCCGAGUCCAUCCCCUGGCUUUGAGAUUUGAAGGACUUGUGCCUCUUGCAGUUCAUUCCCUGCUCGUGCCUGAAGAUAGGAACUUGCAGUUUCCUGCCCCUGCUGUGCCCCCUGCCAUGGUGGACUCCUCUCCCUCUGGCACAUGCAUCCUCUCCUCAGCCAUGGUGUGUUACCACAACAGAAAGUAACCGAUGCACGCAAAUAUUCCCAAGGCAGCUUUUGAGCUCUGCUAGCUCUCCGUCACCUCUUGAAGAGUCCGCUUCAGUGCUCAACCUCUCAUCAUCACUUUAAACCCGAUAAAGCCCACCUGACCACUUCCUGCUACGGGAGCCAAUACAGGAGCCAAGAUAAGAGAGGCCCGGAGCUCACCUGCCGGCCCUCAGCUGUGCUGUGCUCCUCGGACCUGCCAAAUGAACAUCCUCCCCCAAGUGGAACAGAAAUAGCAAGCCUUCUACAGGCACACCAGAGGUUUUCAUACUUCUCUAGUGAACGGGGCACUUGGAGACAGACAAUGAUGUUGAAGUCAACAGUUGGGUUUUUGUUUUUUUGUUUUUUUGUUUGUUUGUUUUUGUUUUUCCUCUAUCCGUUAAUGGUUAGCGUGACUGUGAAAACGAAAGCAUACAGUAUCUCUGUAUUUUUAGCUGGGUGGCUGGUGUGGCUUGGCUAGCUCCUGGGAUAGAAGGAGUUCACCGUCAGCUCUUCAAUCUGCUGAUUUUGAAUCUGGCAAUACUGACCACAGAUGGGAAAUACUUGAAAACAACGGCAUGCUGUUGCUUGGCAUGUCCUGGUUAGUCAGGCACAUGACAGUUGAGCCUGCACUUAACACGGGCGGACUUUCUUGUCCAGGGUACUCUUCUCUGCUGUGGGAUGUUCUGUAUGUUAAAUGUGUUGCUCUGAUUGGUUAAUAAAUAAAUCACUGAUUGGCCAGUAGCCAGGCAGGAAGGAUAGGCAGGACAAGCAGAGAAGAGAAUUCUGGGAAGUGGAAGGCUGAGGCAGAGAGACACUGCCAGCCGCCGCCAUGACAAGCGAGAUGUAAGGUACCGGUAAGCCACAAGCCAUGUGGCAAAGUAUAGACUAAUAGAAAUGGGUUAAUUUAAGAUAGAAGAACUAGAUAACAAGAAGCCUGCCACGGCCAUACAGUUUAUAAGCAAUACAAGUCUCUGUGUUUACUCAGUUGGGUCUGAGCAGCUGCGGGACUGGCGGGUGAGAGAGAUUUGUCCUGACCAUGGGCCAGGCAGGACUAGAAAAACUCUAGCUACAAUUCUCUGAAGGACAUAGGCUGUGGAUGUUUGCACAGCAUUCACAGUGUAUGGGUAUUGUAAGGACUGUAGAAGUGAUUGAAAAGUCUACAGGGGUGCGAUCCAGAAAUGGCUCAGUAUAAAGAAUUUGUGGGACAAGUAUGAGGACCUGAGUUUAGGGCACUAGAAUCGACACUUUAAAAAAGCAGGAGCAGCAGUGCACACCUAUAAUCCCAGCACUGGGGAGGUGGAGACAGGAGGGUCUCUAGCGUGCUGGCCAGCCAGUCCAGUUGAAUGGGUAAGCUCCAAGUUCAGUGAGAAUAUUGUCCUAAAGGAAAACAUUGUGAGGAUUGUUUGAAGAAGAUACCUAACAUCCACCUCUGGCCUCCACAUGCAUGCGCAUGUAUGUGCACAUGUAACUAUACCUCUGAACACACACACACACACACACACACACACACACACACACACACACACACACACACAAAUAAAAGAAGGAAGGAUAGACUGAGAGAAAGAAAGAAAAAGAAAAUCUGUGUGAAGAAGUGGAGGAGUUGUAUGCAAAUACCCCACUAUUUCCUGACUGUGACAUCCAUGACUUCUGUGUCUUGGAAUCAGUCUCUUUGAAGCCUAGGGUUCAUACCUCUGGUAUCACACAGAACUGUGAACUUGAUUUCUGUUGCCUGAGUAAAGUGAACACAAGGUUCCAAUGGAUCCAAACUCUUCCUUUUAUGGAUAACUAUAAUUUGAAGGCUCCAGGGCCAAUGAGAAAAUCAAGGACUUGCAGAGGAGAGCAGCCCCUAGUGUGCAGGGCAUGGCAAAGGUGUAGCACCUCUUCCCUUCCUGUGUGAGGGAUAAUCCCUGGGCUCUGGAAGGAAGGCCAGCAACAGCCACGCUGCUCCAGCUGACAGCACAGAAAAAUUGGAGACCCUGGUGUCAGAUCUUUUGAUCUUUCAAAGGGGGCUGGAAGUUCAAAGGAUGAUGCGCUCUAUCAGAUUUUUAAAUACUGGCUUGACUAAAAAGAAUCCACUGCAAGCCAAACAAAAUACAUCUCUGAGCCAAGAUCAGCCUCGUGUGGACAAUUUGUGCCUCCUGUGAUCAUAAAAGUCAGAAAGCAUAGACACCAGGCUUCAUCUUGCAUCCCCAUGCUGCUAUUCUCGGAGAAGCAAAGCAUGCUAACCCUCGGCAGUUUGCUGUCGCUCUGCAUUCUGAGCACACGAGGGCUUCUCCUCCCGGCCACCUGAACUGGACCAGAUUUUAUUUGCUCAGCUAAAAUCAUGAGAUUUACAGCUUAGACUUCUGGGGUUUAUAUAGUUCCCCCAAAUUGUCUUCAUGGACAGCCAUGAUGAAGUUUUUGUUUGUUUUCUAGUUACUUCCCUUUAUUCCCAUCAGCGUGAUAAUGAUCAAGGGCUGGUGUAUGCCUGGUGGCUGCCUCGGUAGUCGAAGGCCACGGUGGCUGAGAGAAGAUCAUCUUCCUUGAAGAGGUCUGCAGACUCCCUGGCUUACACUUCGGACCCAUCUCAGGGACAAGAGAUAGGACAGCUGUCUGUCAUCAAAUCCUCCUCCUGUACUUUGCUGACUAGGUUGGACACUUCCCAACUUGAGCUAUACCUCUGCAUCUUCUCAGAGAACGAAAAGCAAAAUUCCACAAGCGGAUUGUCUCCGUUUUUGUUAUAGGAUGCCCUACCAAAGCAACUUAAGGGAGGAAAAAUUUGCUCUGGUGGGCAUUUUGAGGGUACUGUCCAUCAUGGGGUGGGGGACGGUUUAGUGGCAGGAGCUUAAGGCAGCCAGUCACUUUGCAUCUGCAUUUGGGAAGCAGAGGGGCUUGCUGAUGCUCAGCUGAUCCUUUUUUAUUCGGUUCAGAACCCCCACCCAUGGAAUGGUGCUGCUCACAGUGUGAGUCUUUCCAUCUGAAUUAGCCCUGUAUGAAACUUCCUCACAGACGUGUCCAGAAAUUUUUCUCCCAGCGACUCCAGAUCCUGUCUAGCUGCCAAUCAAUGCUAGCCAUCACAGAACUGGUAAAGCACUGUUUUCUGGUUGUUCCUGGUGUCCAUGUCUCUGUGAGUGCUUAAAGGGAUCUCUUGCUCCUCUAGAAAACAUUGGCCCCAUCUGAUUCAAGCAGCCCUGGCCCUGGACUCUUCAGCCUUAGGGCAGUCUCUCUCCCUACCUCUUUCCCUUCACUGGGUUACCAGAGCUUAUAGAGGGCACCGUUAACCCCAGCGUUGAGCCCUGGGGCCAGGUUUAUUACAGAACAUGGAGCUAGCACCUGACUCUGGGUGCCUACUACCAUAGUGUGUAGAAAGGGUUCUUUGAAGCCCAGUAUGGUGCUUAUAGCUAUAAUUCCUGCAUGAGGAAGGCUGAGGCUGGAGGAUUAUUGUGAAUUUGAAGUCGUCCUAGGCUAUAGAGUGAGUUCCAGGCCAACCUGGGCCAUUGAGUGGGAUCCUGUCUCAUUAAAAAAAAAAGAAAGAAGAGCUGGGCGGUGGUGGCACACGCCUUUAAUCCCAGCACUUGGGAGGCAGAGCCAGGCGGAUCUCUGUGAGUUCAAGGCCAGCCUGGUCUACAGAGUGAGAUCCAGAAAAGGCACCAAAGCUACACAGAGAAACCCUGUCUCGAAAAAAACAAACAAAAAGUCACUGGUCCUUGCUGUUGAUGUCAACCCAUUACCCAUCUCGUCCAAUAGGUGGUAAGAGCUAUAUAGCCCAGGCCCAUUGCUCCCUGUCAGGGCCGCAGCUGGCUCUGGCCCACACUGUGUUCACACACCAUCUCCUCACUCCUCUUGGGUUAGGCUCUACCCACAUAGGAACCUUGUCUUCCUUCCUCCUGCCCCAAGUGUCCAAGUCACAAGGUGAUGCCAUACUGGUCCUUGGGACUCCACAAGUGCACAGAAAAUCUCUGGGGGUUAAUCUUCAUGUCAGUUUGACUGGAUUGAGACACUUGGGGAUUAGUAAAAUACAUUUCUGGAUGUGUCUGUUGGUGUUUCUAGAGGAUUAACUACGGUGGAAGGUGAGCCCUGAAUGUAGGCAGCACCACCAUGCAGGCAGGGGACCAGAAGAACUAAAAAGGAAAGAAAGAGUGAAAGUGCUAGAGCAUCAUCCUCUCUCUGUUUCCUGAGCAGCAUGAGGUGAGCAGCCCCUGCCGUGUCCUCCCGUGACCCUCAUAGUCUGCCUCAACCUCGUGCUGUAAGCAGCAGAUCUAGCUAACCUUGGACUGAAAUCUCAGAACCUGUGAGCCAGAAUAAAGUCUUCCCUAACCUAUUUAUGUCAGGAAUUUCUUUUUCACAGUGACAAAAAUACCAAAAUAAAGUUCAAGAAUAUUGCUACUAUCCUCUUAAAGUAGCCAUAUUAUUCCUAAGAAAAGUCCCUCCCAGGGAUCUUCUAGAUCACAGAGUACGCUUAUGGGCAUGGAGCAGCCCAGAGGGAUGAGAAAAGAGGUAGAUGCCAGUGUGCAGUCCCUGCCCUUCCUGCCAUACCUUGCAUAUCUCUUUUUACUGUCUAGUUAGAGGCUCUACCGAUCACCUGCCCAAUCCAGGCACCAGAAGUGUCUUCCACUUCUAGAGCAAGCAGCAAAGUGUCUCUCAGUUGACCCUGUUCUGCCUCCAACCUCCAAGGCUGUCUAUUCUCUUUGACUGGGGCUCAGCCUCGAGGUGUGCUGUUCCUGCCCCUAACUACUACUACUACUACUACUACUACUACUACUACUACAACUACUACAACAACAACUAAUACUACUACUACUACUGCAACAACUACAACUACUACUACUAUAACAAUUACUACUACAACUACUACAAAUACAGCAGCUACUACUACAAAUACUACUACAACAACUACUACAACAGCUACUAAUACUACUGUAACAAUUACUUCUAUAACAAGAGCCACUGCUACUUCCUCCUCCAUCUUACAGGUGUUCUGAACAUGGAACUCAGUCUUCAUGUUUGCACAGAGAACACUUUAUUGACUGAGCUAUCUCUUAAAACCUAUAUAAAGUCGAUCAAUAAAAUUAUCCCGUAAUAAAUCGAUGGAACUCUAGCUGUAAAAGACUCCGCUUCCAGGUCCCCAGUCUCUGGAAGUGCCUCACAGGACCGCAGCUCAUCUGGAAAGGGUGGACACUGGGGAGUCCUCAUACUGUCCAGAAUUCACUCUCCGUCGUCCAUGCCCUCUUGUGUGUCCGAGCACCCAGAAAACAUCUCCACCUGCUACAGUCACGGCUUGUUUGAUGAAGCCAAUUCAUUUAAAGUGAGAUUCCAUCUUCCCCUGGAUUAGAGUUCCAGCGAGGCACAUACCAAGUCCCCAAGUGAAUUGUUGCUGUCGGUACAAAAGUAACUAACUCCUAGCUGAGGAGGAAGCCGGGGUAGGGCUGCUUCUUCGGAGCGGUGAAGGAAGCCGCUGCCCACUGUGAGCCGCAAGCUCUCCUGCUCGGCACUACUGUGUCUGAGAUGCACGGAGCCUGUGUCCUAGCCAGCCAUCGGCAGCAGAGGGCAGCAGAGAUCAGGACAUGGAGUUAUAUCAGCACCUCACUUCCCAGAAGGAGAAUUCAAGUCCACUAAUCUGUCCUGUUGGGACCCCUGCUGGGCAGCUCAGCACUCCAGAACCAUUAGCCAAAGCAGCAAGACAUUCCCUAAUCUCCACUUGCUUUCUUUUGUGACCAGGGUAGCCUUCCACAGGGUCUUGCCUCUCAGAGUCAGUUUUAAAUCAACUGCAGAGCCUCUCUGCCUAUAUGGAAAUGAAGGCCUGGAGAGGGAAAAUGUGGCCUGUGGUCACAUGUGGGUGGCAGGCUCAGGACAGGGCCCAGAAUUCCUCAUGCUACCCCUUUCUAAGUUUACUUCUUGUCAGAGUGAAGUGGGCCAGUGCCUGGGGGUGAGAGUCCCUCUGUGGGAAUUUGGGGGCAUGGGAGAACUUCAGAGUAUAUGGAGAACAAUAGUGAGCCCCCAUGUGGGUCUCAGGAAUUCAGAUUUCUCUCCAUAGGCAGCUAGAAAAAGAGCCCUUUACAGAACUAAACAGUAGGUGAUUCCCAGGCAGCACCUUGACAGCUCAUCUGGUCUUCACACCCUGUAGUCUGUGGUGGUAUUUUGUGUAAGCUCUAACAAAUAAAGCUUGCUGAAGAUCAGAGGGUAAAGCCAGCCACUAGUUAGCCAUAGAGACCAGGCAGUGGUAGCACACGCCUUUAAUCCCAGCACUAGGGAGGUUGAGACAGGAAGUGAUAUGGCUGAGCGGAGAAAGGAAUAUAAGGCCGGAGGAGAGAGGACUUCAGCCCCUUUUAGGCUGAGGAGUUGGUGGGGUGAGAGGUGGCUGUGGCUUGUUCCUUUGUUUCUCUGAUCUUCCAGCAUUUACCCCGAUACCUGGCUCUGGGUAAAUUAGGAUUUGUGCUACAAAAGCCCAAAAUCAUGAAGCCUCUGCACUUCUGGAAUCAUGGUCUCUACACCUCUGAGUUCUGGAGUCACGUGACCAAACAUUUAGCUUCCCUGGUGCCGUCUGCAGCCCCCCACAGCUGGUCUCAGCGGCUCUGGAAUCUAUGCAUUACAGUCCCCUGAGAUACAAGGAUGGUGUCCUCCUGUGUGUGCCUAUCAGGCCCCACUGCCCAAGUUUUGUGCACCCCUGUGAUGGUUAAUCUUGGCUGUCAACUGGAUUUGCAAUCACUUGGGAGACACAGUCCUUGGGUAUGUCUCUGAGGGUAGGUCUGGGGUUUAGCUGAGGUGAGAAGAUCCAUUUUGAAAGCAGAUAGCAGGAUUGCGUGGGCUGACAUCUCAGAGUCUCGAAGAGAAGGCAAGCUAAGCACCAGCAUUCAUCUGUUCUCUGGCUGUGGCAAGGUGGCACCCUCCUAACUCUGCUGCAGGCCUUCCCCAGCAGGAAGGACUGUGUCCCUCAGACUGUGAGUCAGAAUAAACCUUAUCACGGCAAUGUACAGCCUCCAGCCUGCCACCACCAUCACACACACACUAGGCUGACAGUCACCUCAGGAUAUUGAAGGGAGCCAGGAAGAGGCACACAGACCUGAGGUUAUGUAGGUGCCCCAUGUGAGUUCCAGAUAUAAGGGCAUGUCUUGGUCUGGAGUCCCCCCACAGACAGGCAAGGCCCCAGGAAACGGCACAGCCCCUACCAAUCUCAGCAGCUCUGCCGACUCCACCUGCCCUAAGAUCUGGUGGCUCUGCAUUGAUAGCUGUGACCCUUGCAGGAUCCUACAGGCCCCCAAGGACUCUAGUUCAUGUGUGCUGUGGUCCAGCUGGGACUCACACCUGUGACAGACGUGGACCACGGGGGUGUGGGGCUGCAGCUGACUCCUGCAGGCUGAGUCUCUGUUCCUUCACCGAGGGCAUAUAGAGUGUGUGUGUGUGUGGGGGGGGGGGGCAGGGGCUGUCACCCUGGGCCUUGGCAGAUAAUCUAGAAGGGGUGCAGGUUGGGCAGGGUUGCUCAUCAGCUACCCAGCUGCUCUGACUCUGGCCUCUCUCCAGUCAGACAGCAGAAGUUUGGGGCCCAGUGGCCUGCUUGGAGAUGGGGCAUGAGAGGGGUCUCAUUAUGAAAGGGGGGGGGUGCUUAUGGGAUAGAAAAUCUGCUCAAAUGGCAUUUUCUGGGCCCAGUGCCACCCUUUAGAAUCAGUAGAGGCAGGCAUCUCCAUUUUAGCAACCCCGACCCCAUGCGUGACUCCCAGUGUUACGCUGUGCGUGAGUAACACAAUUUAGAAAUAAUCUUUCAUUCUUGCAAUGGACAGGUUAUUUACAAAGCACUUCCUUCCUCGGCCCUGUCCCAUGCCUGCCCCUGACACUGUGGCUCUGAGGCAGCUCUCCCAGGCAGCUUCCCAGAAUUCCUCCGCAGGUCUCAACUCUUUCACUUCCUUCUUCGGAGUCAUCUUUUCCAAAAUGGCUGCCACCUUCAAGUUGCCUCUCCCACAAUCCCUUCUUGGAUCCUUUCCCGCAAACACGCAUGAGCUUCGGUCGCCGCGUGCCUUUUAGUUGUCUCAGAGUCUCCUUCCUGGAUAUAAGCCCCUCCGAGGCCUGUGGUGCUGAGAUCACCUGUUUAUCCUCAGAGCUGCGAGGAUGUAAACUGCUAGAGAAGUGCUAGCUUGUCGAAUAAUAAGAGGCCACUCUCAGUGGUCGAUUUUUCUUUUCCCCGUCAUGGGACAACAGGGCAGGCACCUUUUGGAGAAAAGAGGAUAUUUGAAAGCAAGGGGGUCACUGGGAGGAAGCUUCCAAACCCCAAGACCUGGCAUGGUGCGCUGCCCACCCCUGUCUGUGAGAAGAGAAGCCCCUAGGAAAGGCAGAGAGAAGGCCAGAGAUAGCCCACCUGGAGCGCCCUCUGUGAUGAGGAAGGCCCCCCGUGAGGAGACGCGUUCUUCCUGGAGCUGCAUCUGUCUGGACAGGUAGACAGGAGGCCCCGGUGGGGUUCCCGGAACCUCUGCAGAGCAUGCCUGUAUGUACUCGCUCUGCUGGCACGCCAUGAAUUGUUUUGGGGCUGUCUUGUUAGGAGAUUAAGUUUUCUUUUAAAAAGAUGAAGAAAGAAUCUCUAGCAGGGGCCUGAGUGGAGCUGACCUCUGAGGAGGAGAUGGCGGCAGAGGCUGGCUGGCUGGCACUGCGUUUGUCUAAUUAAUCUUCUUGUCAACAGAGUUGUUCUUUGCCGGUGCCAGCCCUGACAUCAUCCUGCAAGCUUGUCACACCGGUUUCUAUCCAGCUACAAAGGCUGCCUUUCCGUGCUCCCUGCUCUCACCAACAACCUCAGCGUGGCCUGGGGUAUGGUGGUGUGGCACUGUGGCUGGGCUGGAACUCCUCUGGGGAGGAGGCAAGAGGGACCUUCCCCAGCCUCUGACUUAGAGGGUCACAGCUGAUAGGAAAGUUGGUCAGAGACCAGGAAGAAAUCACAGCUACUUUCCUGUCAGAUUACAGUUGAGCAUUUAUCUCAAAACAUCAUCUGGACUCAUCACUAUUUUGAGAGGACUGGAGUUAACAGACGCGUCUUCAGAUCUCAUUAACUCAUAUUCUAAAAAAGAACAUAUAUGACGAUUUCACAAUUUAGAAACAUUUGAAAACUGUACUGAGUAUCGUGGGUGUGCUUUGCAUCCCUCCUGUCUUAAAAAUGCUUUUUUUGUGCAAACAUUCUGAGUAACUUCGGGGCUUACCAGAUCGGCGAGGGGGCUCAUCUAACAAACAGCAAGUUAUCUCUGGUUCUCUUCCCUGACAUCAGCACGCACCUCCCCACCUGACGCAUGGUAGGUGCUCGAUAGUUUGUUGACUGAAUAAAUGAAUGGAGGCUA
This is a long non-coding RNA of Peromyscus californicus insignis, 11737 nucleotides long. RefSeq lists it as uncharacterized. Lineage: Eukaryota; Metazoa; Chordata; Mammalia; Rodentia; Cricetidae. The record is from RefSeq and is a predicted model, not a curated record. The transcript has 2 exons.